GACGAACGCUGGCGGCGUGCUUAACACAUGCAAGUCGAACGGAAAGGCCCUUCUUUUGUGGUGUGCUCGAGUGGCGAACUGGUGAGUAACACGUUAGUAACCUGCCCUUUACUUUGUGAUAACUUCAUGAAACUGUGGCUAAUACCGGAUAGGAGCUCCUGCUGCAUGGUGGUGUUUGGAAAGUUUCGGCGGUUGGGGAUGGACUCGCGGCUUAUCAGCUUGUUGGUGGGGUAGUGGAUUACCAAGGCUUUGACGGGUAGCCGGCCUGAGAGGGUGAGCGGACAAAUUGGGACUGAGAUGAGGCCCAGACUACAACGGGAGGCAGCAGUGGGGAAGAUAGCACAAUGGGCGGAAGCAUGAUGAAGCAAAGCGGCGUGCGGGAUGACGGCCUUCGGGUUGUAAACCGAUUUAGACUGUGACGAAGAGUGAGUGACGGUAAUGGGUAAAGAAGCACCGGCUAACUACGUG
This 468-nucleotide ribosomal RNA is filed under the name uncultured bacterium. RNAcentral's name for it is "partial 16S ribosomal RNA". It matches the Rfam family "Bacterial small subunit ribosomal RNA", at positions 28 to 507 of the family's 1533-position model. The record is from RNAcentral.